Molecule: non-coding RNA, 830 nt
Filed under: Hydropsyche angustipennis
Lineage: Eukaryota; Metazoa; Arthropoda; Insecta; Trichoptera; Hydropsychidae
Source: RNAcentral
UAAAAUUAUUUCUGGUUUAAAAUUUAUUAUAUAUUUUAAUUAUAUAUAAAUUAUUUAAUAAUUAUAUUUAAAUUUAUAUUUUAAAAAAAUAAAUUUAAUUUUAGAAAAAUUUAUAAUAUUUAAUUUUAAAAAAUAAUUAAAUAAAUUUAAUUUUAGAAAUAUAAAUUUAUUACUAAUUAAAAUUGUGCCAGCAAUUGCGGUUAUACAAUUAGUAAAAAUAAAUUUUUAAUAAAUUUUAAAUUAUUUAUUAUAAUAGAUAAAAAUUUAAGUAAAUUUAAAUUAAAUAGGUAAAAUAUAUUAAUUUAAUAAAAUAAAUAAAAAAUAUAAAAAAUUUAAAAAAGAAAAUAUUUUAAACUAGGAUUAGAUACCCUAUUAUUAAUUUAAUAAUUAAAUUAAAUUAGUAGAAUUAAAUUAGUAGAAUUAAAAAUUUGAAAAUUAAAGAAUUUGACGGUAUUUUAAUCAAUUUAGAGGAAUUUGUUUAAUAAUUGAUAAUCCACAAUUAAAAUUACUUAUUUUAAAAUUUGUAUAUCGUUGUUAUAAAAAGAUUUUUAUUUAAUUUAAAAAUAUUUUAAAAUUUAAAUUUAAAUUUAUAUCAAAUCAAGAUACAGUUUAUUGAUAAGAAAAAAAUGAAUUACAAUAAUUUAUUUAAUAAUUAUGUUUAAAUAAAUUGAAAAUUUUAAAAUUUAAUUGGAUUUAAGUGUAAUUAUAUAUAUAUAUAUAUUAUGAUUAUUGUUUUAAAAUAAGUACAUAUUGCCCGUCACUCUCAUAAAUUAAAUAAUUGAGAUAAGUCGUAACAUAGUAGAAGUAUUGGAAAAUGUUUCUAGAUUUAA